Molecule: long non-coding RNA, 999 nt
Organism: Branchiostoma floridae (Florida lancelet)
Lineage: Eukaryota; Metazoa; Chordata; Leptocardii; Amphioxiformes; Branchiostomatidae
Exons: 4
Source: RefSeq, a predicted model, not a curated record
UGAUGCUGCAGCUGGCGUUCUCUAUGACUAUCGCUCCUAACGGUACAACAACACCACCUCCUGUGUCGACUGCUCCUCCAAGUUCAGGACCUUCAGGCGCGCAAAUCGGAGGGAUUAUAGGAGGUCUGAGUGGUGUCAUUGUCGUUAUUAUUGUUGUUGUUGUGACUACGUCAAAUUGGCAUCGCAAGAAAAAAGCCAACCGUGCGCGUACAGGGAACUGCUGAUGGUUGUCUGCCAGUGACUGCGAAAAGAAGGCAGAGAAUACGCCAUGGGAGAAUCACGAUCAAACUUGACUUUUGGUUUCAAUUAUUUGUUUAGGAUUAACAAUGUAAUGAUAAAAGCGAAAGCAUUUCCCACUUACUAUUGCACUGCCCAAACUAUACUAGCCGACGUUAACUUCUAUUUGACAGACUCAAAAAAUUGAAUAUCUCAACUCUUGAUAUAAAUGCCUUAUCAGAAACAGCUACAAUACAUUUGUUGAUUAGGGUUCACCUUUACUCUACAACUAAUGCUCAGGUAUUACAUAUAACUAUUUGUAUUUGUUGGUAACGAAACGCGUUUCAUAAUCAAUAGAUAUUCUGUUAUUAUAAUAUUCUUGUGUGUAUUAUUGAUUGUAUUUUGUUAGCGGUGCCAUUAGGCGUUAACAUAAGAUUUUAGCUUGAGUACGGUAUCACUGUGUGUGUAUUUUGCAUUUUCUUUAAUAAAAAAUGUAAUGAUGUGCAGAAUAAAAUUUGACUCACCAUAACAUUUACUGUAAACUGUACGUAAAUCAAUCAACCUUUUGGAUUGGCGUACUGUGUAGGUGAAAUGUAGUGUCCCCUGAAAAUAUCUAUCAUCAUCUGAUCAUUUGUCAUCCUCUAUGAGUUGCAGCAAGUGAAGUUUGACUUCCAGUAUACAGUCUGUCAUACAUAUCGCUGUGAGAAGUAAAAAUCGAUGUGAAAAUAUCUAGAUUACUGGUUAUAAGUAGCGUUUCUUUAUAAAGAUGCAUGAUGACCCCCA